UUCCUUUUGAGGCUUACAUGCAAGUCCUGAGGGCAAUUUCAAAAGAGGAUGCAUGGCCAACACGUUUUGAAUGAUAGUUACAUGGUUGGAAGUAAUGGAGCCUCCUGGGAUGCCGUUGAAAGAAGCUGUCCUCCCUGGCAUGUGAACAGUGCUUGACUGGCUAUGAAUAAAAGUCAAUUAUGCCAGUAUCUCCCUCAAAGAUGGUGAGAAUUAGGAGUGCUGAAAUCAUGCAUGCAUGUAUGACUUACUUCUGGUGGACCCACCGCAGGAUCAGAAAUGUCUACACUGUUGCUGCUUUUCUAAUUUUAGAAAAAUAGUGGCAAGUCUCUGGAACGACCCUAACAAUCCCACAUUCAUGAAGUGGCUCAAACCAGCAGGACUCGUGUUUGGAAUGGAAAGACCAGAGCUGAGGAAAAGGAAAGUGGAAUUUCUCUUUGGAGUUUUGAAGUCUCUCCUUAGCUUAUGACUUUGAGUUGCUUGAAAAGCUUGAAGGAAUUUCCACACUUAGCACACUUCCCGUGGCUGCCGGCCGCCUGGCUCCAAAGCACAUUUUGUGAGGUUUCAGUGUGUUCUCAUUCCUCAGCAUUAUAAUGGAUGCUGUCACUAGAGCUGGAUCCUGGCCGUGUAAGGCAGGUCACCCGAAAAGGCUGACCAGGGCCCUGUUUCCUGACUGAAUGCUUGGUUGAUGGUAUCUUGUCUGAUUCAUAUCCUAUUGGAAACGGUGUGAAGCAGGGCCUGGAAGUAGAUCUGGUUUGAAUCAAUCUGGCCAACACAGCCUUGCUUGACAGGCAACAGAGGCUGGACUGCUGGUUUUAAAAGAGAAAUCCUAGUUUUAGAGAAGUUUUUUGCUUUUCCUUCAAAAGACUGAGAAACUUACCGAUUUCUUUUGACUAACACAGUGCUGCACAAACAUACAAUGCUUUAAAAAUUUCCUCUUUUGCUGUUUCACAUAUGCAUUCACCAAAUAUUCAUUUAGAUGCCUGUUUUAUGCCAGGUACUAUACUAGUACCUGUUAGGAAGACAAUCAUGAGCAAAAUAGACUUCAUUCCUGCCCUCAUGAAGAUUACAGUCUAGUGGGGAAGAUAGAAAUUGAACAAACACCAAAACUAAUAUAAAUAAGUGCUUGUAAAUGAAAGAUAUAGGGUUCCAAGAGGGACAACAUACAAUAGGGGUUCUCGCUUAGAUUGAGGAGCUCAGGAUGCAAGGAAGAGGCAUUGAAACAGACGCCUGGUAGAUAGAUAGGAAAUAUGCAAGCAAAGAGCUUGGGGAAAUGGUUCUGGACAGAGGGAACAGCAGAGGUGAGGCAAAGUGGGUUCAGGUGGGGCUCAAGAGACAGAGAGAGCCCAGAUCAUGCAGGACCUGAUGGCCAAGAGCAAGAUUUUGUGUUUUGAAUUCUCCCUCCAAUCAGUUUUGUUUAAAGCACUUUCUACUAGUGUCAACUGGAUUGGAUGCAACACACUAUCAUUGAGUGAAUUAUUAGGUUGGUGCAAAAGUAAUUGCGGUUUUUGCCAUUAAUGGGUUGUGCCAGCCUUAUAGAUCCUGAAACAGCCAAUUCAGAGCAAGGCUGCUGGCAUUCUCCACUGAAGAGCUGGAUUGGGGGUGGGGCCAAUAUUAAAGCACUAGCUUGGGAGAAAGAUGGAAUUUAAAUGUCCAUAUAUUACCCUAUUUAUUAUUUUCAUUGCCAUUCUCCAUUUGUAUUUCCUUUCAAUCAAAAAUUACUGAGAACAUCUUAUAUGCAAAACGCCUUGAAAGAUUCAAAGAGUUCUGGGACACAUCCUUUCUCUCCAGGAAUUUAUGUCUUAGUGGAAAAGCCAGCUCUGUGAAUCACCCUACAAAACCACAGACUUAUGCAGCAAAAUGGACAGCAUCUGAAAUAUCAUCUGGUCCAGGUUCACAGACAUAUUCUCCAGGGUCACAGAGCUCUAGAGUAAUUGUCUUUUAAUUUUGUGGUUUUCAUUUUGAUUAUAAUCUAAAACGUAUUUUACUGGUUAUAAAGGAAAAAAAAAGAUCCUCUUGUUUGCCCUAAUGAUUUACAAUUGAGAGACAUUUCAAAUCAUAAGACUUUAGUUCCUUAAGUCACUGUUUGUCCAACUAGGAUCCAUGGAGUCUUCAGGGCCCACAGAUGUAUUUUCAGGAGUCUAUUAAAGUUAUUCUUCCCUUGAAAUGUGUCCUUAUAUCACCAAGUCUGAGAAACUAACCUAUUCCAACACGUCAUUAUCACAGACUUUUUUUUUUUUUUUUUAAAGACCAAGGCCUAGGAAGAGUAAGAAUAAAAUUCCUAAAACAUUUUAGAUUUCUUAUAUUAAUUAGAAAUCAUCGUUUUCAACGUUUUUUUGAAUUCUUUAUCUCAUUGCUUUCUUAUAAAUAUCCAUGACCCACACACCCACACAAAAUAGACAGUAUUAUUAUCCUCAUCAUAGAGAUAAAGAAAUUGAGAUUCGUAGCUGUUAAGUAACUUGCCCAAGUUCAACUAAUAAUAGUAAAUGCAAACAGUGGCGUUGGAAUGAAAACAAUCUACUUUCCAGGCCAGUAGUCAUGCCAUUGUCCGAACUUUCUAGCAUUUAGGGCAACAGAUGUAACACAUUAAAAUCUGCAACCUCUGUUCCAAGAGUGUGUUUUGGUUUUAUUUUACCAAUGAGACACAAAUUCCUCAUUUGGUCAUAGUCAUUCCAUGAUAUCUUAAUGAUUUCCUCUGCUUAACUUCGGUGGUUUAAAAAUGUCUACAAAUUCUUUGAUUGCUCCCAUGAAGGAGGUCUAUAUAUCCUCCCCUUGAAUCUGGCUGACUAAUAGCAUGUGGUAGGGGUGACUCUAUGUGAAUGUUGAGGUUGAGUCAUAAAAGGUGAUCCAGCUUCCACCUGGUCCUCAUGAGAUGCUCCCUCUUGGAACUCAGCCACUAAGCUAUGAGGAAGCCCUGGCCACAUGGACAGGCCAUGUGUAGGUGCUCAGCUGACACCCCCAGUUGGGGUCUCAGCCAAUAGCCAGCAUCAACCCAAGACCUAUGAGUGAAAAAGGUUUUGAGAUGACUCCAGCUUUAGCAGCCAUUGAACUGCAUGAGAAAGCCUGUGUGAGAACCAUCUAGCUGAGCGUAGAACCUAGAGAGACAGUGUAACAACUUUUAAACCACCAAGCUUUGGGCUGAUUUGUUAGGCAGCAACAAUGACUGGAAUGCUGGCUGGGCACCUUGCAUUGGGUGAUUUCAUCAGUGUUUCUCCCAAAAGGCAUCAUGGUCUGCACUGUACUAGGAGCUUUCAGCUUGAAGAGAGAUACUUGGUCUCCCUAAAGGGGACCAGAGGCUGAGCACAAUUAUGGCUUGAUUAUCCCUAACAUUUCUGUUCCUCUGACUUAUAUGUUCUCUUUUUCAUCAGAAAACACUGCAAUUGACUGCAGCUCAGUGCUGCUUCUGUAAACAGGGAAUCAGUCCACCGUAAGGUAAAAAUACCAUGCUCCUGAGAGUUCCUUCUGACGAGAUAUCUCCCUUUGCUAAUGCUGAAAUA
This 3494-nucleotide long non-coding RNA is filed under the name Macaca mulatta (Rhesus monkey). RNAcentral describes it as "lncRNA (ENSMMUG00000041729.2)". Lineage: Eukaryota; Metazoa; Chordata; Mammalia; Primates; Cercopithecidae. The record is from RNAcentral.